UGGGGAAUAUUGCACAAUGGGGGAAACCCUGAUGCAGCGACGCCGCGUGAAGGAAGAAGUAUCUCGGUAUGUAAACUUCUAUCAGCAGGGAAGAUAGUGACGGUACCUGACUAAGAAGCCCCGGCUAACUACGUGCCAGCAGCCGCGGUAAUA
This 153-nucleotide ribosomal RNA is filed under the name uncultured Bacillota bacterium. RNAcentral's name for it is "uncultured Firmicutes bacterium partial 16S ribosomal RNA". It matches the Rfam family "Bacterial small subunit ribosomal RNA", at positions 355 to 525 of the family's 1533-position model. The record is from RNAcentral. Lineage: Bacteria; Bacillati; Bacillota.